UUUUAAAUAUAAUAUAUAAUAUAUCGGUAAGCUGAAUAAAAGCAGACAAGAGCUUUAUUUUGGUCAUGUGGCGUGUGGGUCCUGUGCGACAGGAUACCGUGAACCAUGUCAGGCGGGUGAACCGAGCAGCAUUAAGCGGACAAUUUUGUGCGCCACAGUCUGCCUGCCGCCAUAUGACCAAGACAAAGCUCUCUUUUUUUAAAA
This 204-nucleotide signal recognition particle RNA is filed under the name Clostridia bacterium. RNAcentral's name for it is "signal recognition particle sRNA large type". The stretch from base 73 to 172 matches the Rfam family "Bacterial small signal recognition particle RNA". Lineage: Bacteria; Bacillati; Bacillota; Clostridia. The record is from RNAcentral.